This 200-nucleotide ribosomal RNA is filed under the name uncultured bacterium. RNAcentral describes it as "partial 16S ribosomal RNA". It matches the Rfam family "Bacterial small subunit ribosomal RNA", at positions 8 to 209 of the family's 1533-position model. The record is from RNAcentral.
AGAGUUUGAUCCUGGCUCAGAACGAACGUUAGCGGCGCGCUUAACACAUGCAAGUCGUGCGAGAAAGGGGAAACCCCGGUAAAGCGGCGCACGGGUGAGUAACACGUAGGUAAUCUGCCCCCAGGUGGUGGAUAACCUUCCGAAAGGAGGGCUAAUACAGCAUAAGACCACGGUCCCGCAAGGGACUGAGGUCAAAAGCC